RNAcentral lists this long non-coding RNA (260 nucleotides) under Carica papaya (papaya). Its description in RNAcentral is "long non-coding RNA (CPAP_LNC014154)". Lineage: Eukaryota; Viridiplantae; Streptophyta; Magnoliopsida; Brassicales; Caricaceae. The record is from RNAcentral.
CCGCUGGCAAUCAAACAGUUAAUCGUAAGGCACCGACCACUCACCAGAGCACUGUUAAGUGUUUCAAGUGCUUAGGAGUGGGGCAUAUUGCAUCGUAAUAUCCCAAGCAGUGUGCCAUGAUUAUCCAAGAUAAUAGAGAUAUUGUCAGUGACCAUGAAAGCAAAAACAAGCAAGAAGAUCCAUCGUUAGUGGAUGUAGGUCGAGAAAGUAUAGCUCAACUAGUACAGGGAGAUAUAUUUGUGGCUCAACAAGCAAUAAAC